AGUGAACGCUGGCGGUAGGCCUAACACAUGCAAGUCGAACGGCAGCACAGUAAGAGCUUGCUCUUACGGGUGGCGAGUGGCGGACGGGUGAGGAAUACAUCGGAAUCUACUCUUUCGUGGGGGAUCACGUAGGGAAACCUACGCUAAUACCGCAUACGACCUACGGGUGAAAGCAGGGGAUCUUCGGACCUUGCGCGAUUGAAUGAGCCGAUGUCGGAUUAGCUAGUUGGCGGGGUAAAGGCCCACCAAGGCGACGAUCCGCAGCUGGUCUGAGAGGAUGAUCGGCCACACUGGAACUGGGACACGGUCCAGACUCCUACGGGAGGCAGCAGUGGGGAAUAUUGGACAAUGGGCGCAAGCCUGAUCCAGCCAUACCGCGUGGGUGAAGAAGGCCUUCGGUUUGUAAAGCCCUUUUGUUGGGAAAGAAAAGCAGCAGGUUGAUACCCCGCUGUUCUGACGGUACCCAAAGAAUAAGCACCGGCUAACUUCGUG
This 492-nucleotide ribosomal RNA is filed under the name uncultured bacterium. RNAcentral's name for it is "partial 16S ribosomal RNA". It matches the Rfam family "Bacterial small subunit ribosomal RNA", at positions 29 to 507 of the family's 1533-position model. The record is from RNAcentral.